GACAAGCAAUUCCACUGUGUUUAUACAUUGUUAGGAUAAGAAUUUAAAUGAGCUAAUUAACCUAGUGAGAAGUAAGGAUUUAGUCUAGAGAGUUUUAAAUUCUACCUGGGCUCCUUUAAGCAGAGAAGGAAAGAGUGAUCUGUGGGUGACUUAAAGAGAAUUUCCUGAUAGGAAAGUCGGCUGAGAGAACCGGGGUCUCUCUGGAGCUUCCUCGCUUGGAGCAGGUGACCGGGGAGUUGGCUCUGAUAAAUCUGUGAAGAAUUUUCUUAAGAGUUAUUUUUGGAGAAGUCAAGAAACAUCUUUUCAGCUAGAGAAGACUGGGGCAAGUGAGCGCUUUUUCUCAGAGAGGGAAAGCUACCGAAGAGGGCGCUGUCUCCUCUCGCUGGAGCUGCCGAGUCAAUUUCAGGCACCGGCUGCGAGGAGAGACAGAUCAUAAACUGCCAUCAAUUGAAAAUUCGUUGGACGCAGCUGAUUAUCCCUAACUUAUGUGCUCCAUCACUCUGCUUAGAAUUCUAAAGGAAAUCAUUUAAGAACGGCUCUUGGAAAGAACACUGGUGGAAAGAGAUAGAGAUUCACUACGCAAAGCUUUGGGGAUCUGCUGCUGGCCAAGUGUGAAUGAGGGACCCAUGUACUAUUGUUCAAUGAUGCAAAGUCCUCUAAAUGGCUGUUGAGCCAGAACUUGGUGGAGAUCCCCUGUUGCUCUUUGCCUUUGUGGCUGUGAGUAAGGCAGGAUGACUUGGAGCAGCCUGGAGGGGCAAAGGAGUUUCUCAUUCAAAAAUGAUUCUGAGCACGCAGCUAGCCCAGCUUGCCUUUCGAUUUAUUCUUCCUGAUCUUAGGUGAAUGAAUGUCCCAAGAUAGAAUUGUCCAGGUGGUGACUGGACAUCUCAAGAUGACUCUUGAGAGUAAAUAAAGGUCUGAGGUCCGCAGCUUGGGCAGUGGUAGCAGUGUCCAUCCAUAGAACUGCAGCAGAUGACUGUUUUUGUUGGGAAUAGAGGGCUAUUCUGUAACACAAACCCCUGGGAGCACAACCCCUUAUGGGAGAGAGGAAUGUUAGUCGUGGGUUUAAGCAAUCAAUCAAUCACUAUUAAAUGUCUAUGAUGUGUCAGACGUUCUGCUAAGAAAGGCACAGAUCCUGAGAGGAGAGGAAGAUGGAAGAUGGGAGAUGUGGGACAUAUAUUCUAUCCAGAUUCAUUUUUACAUCCCACUCCUUUCUGCUUUGAUGUUACUUGACUCUGACUUCACAAAGAAAGUCAGCAGCCAGACCCAGGCUGAGAUAAAAAUGGCCGCAAAGCCUGCCAAUCAAACGUGAUUAUUGAACAUCUGGUUCUCCCCUCUUUCUUCCUUUUCUCUUUACUUAUUUUUCUUGGAAGAAA
Molecule: non-coding RNA, 1373 nt
Organism: Monodelphis domestica (gray short-tailed opossum)
Lineage: Eukaryota; Metazoa; Chordata; Mammalia; Didelphimorphia; Didelphidae
Source: RefSeq, a predicted model, not a curated record